GUUGUUCAUUGUUUUGAGGCUCUAAUGUUGGCUGGACAGAUGGGGACUGGACUGAUGGGGUCUGGACUGGUAUGGGCUGGACAUGUGUGGGUUGAGCUUCAGUAGGCUGGACUAGUGUGGGCUGCGAAUGAGAGGCCGAAGGCACUGCAGACUGAGGAAGCAAUCUCAUGACCAGUUCUUUAAAAUUGGUAAACUCUUGUCUGAGUUCACUAUAUUCUCGUUCACGUGUUUGAAGCCG
Molecule: long non-coding RNA, 238 nt
Filed under: Vigna radiata
Lineage: Eukaryota; Viridiplantae; Streptophyta; Magnoliopsida; Fabales; Fabaceae
Description: long non-coding RNA (VRAD_LNC005138)
Source: RNAcentral